Molecule: ribosomal RNA, 574 nt
Filed under: uncultured Gammaproteobacteria bacterium
Lineage: Bacteria; Pseudomonadati; Pseudomonadota; Gammaproteobacteria
Description: bacterial SSU rRNA
Rfam family: Bacterial small subunit ribosomal RNA
Source: RNAcentral
UCGAUUUGGAGUUUNUUUGCCUAGAAGUGAUGGGCUCCCGAANCUAACGCGAUAAAUCCGACCGCCUGGGGAGUACGNCCGCAAGGUUAAAAACUCAAAUGAAUUGACGGGGGCCCGCACAAGCGGUGGAGCAUGUGGUUUAAUUCGAUGCAACGCGAAGAACCUUACCUGGUCUUGACAUCCACAGAAUCUUGCAGAGAUGCGAGAGUGCCUUCGGGAACUGUGAGACAGGUGCUGCAUGGCUGUCGUCAGCUCGUGUUGUGAAAUGUUGGGUUAAGUCCCGCAACGAGCGCAACCCUUAUCCUUUGUUGCCAGCGGUUCGGCCGGGAACUCAAAGGAGACUGCCAGUGAUAAACUGGAGGAAGGUGGGGAUGACGUCAAGUCAUCAUGGCCCUUACGAGUAGGGCUACACACGUGCUACAAUGGCGCAUACAAAGAGAAGCGACCUCGCGAGAGCAAGCGGACCUCAUAAAGUGCGUCGUAGUCCGGAUCGGAGUCUGCAACUCGACUCCGUGAAGUCGGAAUCGCUAGUAAUCGUAGAUCAGAAUGCUACGGUGAAUACGUUCCCGGGCCU